AUGGGAGAAAAUGUAAAUGCCCCUGUGGCAGUUACAGCCGGGGAACUUGCAGUUGUGCUUCAGUCUAUGGAUGAGAAAUACAGAGCACUCUUUGAUGCAAUCAGCAAGCAGGCUGGAAAUUCAAGACCAGAGACUGAAGCCAAGGAAGAGAUUCACCCGUUGCAAAUGCCACAUGUGAAGCUAGUGGGUGCGGAAAAUUAUUCCAGUUGGGCAGAGCAUGCCGACACCAUCCUGAUCUCGAGGAACCUUGAGGGGUAUAUACUGGGAACAGUGGAGAAGCCUAUCGAGGAAAAUUCGAAAGAGGCCCAGAAGUGGAAAGCAACAAAUGCAUUGGUGAGAGCUUGGCUUUUAAGCUCAAUAUCAUCUCAGAUUGCAAAGCAAGUUGAAAGGAUCAAGGAGGCCUCAGAAAUUUGGAGGCUCCUAAAGGGGACAUAUUCAGGUGUAGGGAAUGAGAUGUUGGCAUGUAGGAUUCAAAAGGAACUACAGGAGCUAGGCCAGGGUGAGAAGACUGUUGUGGAAUAUGUGUCAGAAUUGAAAAGGUUGUGGAGUGAUCUUGAUUACUAUGAUCCAGUUGAGAUGGAAUGUGGGAAAUGUGUUGAGAAACAUAGUAAAUGGACUGAAAGAAGGCGUGUUAGGGACUUCUUAAAUGGUCUUCAUCCUAAUUCGAGAAUAGGAGAGCAGCACUUUAUGGUAGUGGGAAGUUGCCCAGUCUAG
RNAcentral lists this ribosomal RNA (714 nucleotides) under Triticum aestivum (bread wheat). Its description in RNAcentral is "partial small subunit ribosomal RNA". Lineage: Eukaryota; Viridiplantae; Streptophyta; Magnoliopsida; Poales; Poaceae. The record is from RNAcentral.